GUAGAAGGGCUUCUCUCCAUUGGCAGGCAUAAUGACUUUGGCUUUCAUGUUCUGCCAAAGGAGAGUUGCCCUUCAUCUAGU
Molecule: microRNA precursor, 81 nt
Filed under: Cucumis melo (muskmelon)
Lineage: Eukaryota; Viridiplantae; Streptophyta; Magnoliopsida; Cucurbitales; Cucurbitaceae
Description: miR399d stem-loop (cme-MIR399d)
Gene: cme-MIR399d
Source: miRBase by way of RNAcentral